GGGGCUGUAGCUCAGUGGUAGAGUGUUUGCUUAGCAUGCAUGAGGCACUAGGUUCCAUCCUCAGCACCA
This 69-nucleotide transfer RNA is filed under the name Marmota marmota marmota (Alpine marmot). It matches the Rfam family "tRNA". From Rfam's summary of the family: Transfer RNA (tRNA) molecules are approximately 80 nucleotides in length. Their secondary structure includes four short double-helical elements and three loops (D, anti-codon, and T loops). The record is from Rfam by way of RNAcentral. RNAcentral also lists the same sequence under 1 other name. Lineage: Eukaryota; Metazoa; Chordata; Mammalia; Rodentia; Sciuridae.